AGUGAACGCUGGCGGUAGGCCUAACACAUGCGAGUCGAACGGCAGCACAGUAAGAGCUUGCUCUUACGGGUGGCGAGUGGCGGACGGGUGAGGAAUACAUCGGAAUCUACUUUUUCGUGGGGGAUAACGUAGGGAAACUUACGCUAAUACCGCAUACGACCUACGGGUGAAAGCAGGGGAUCUUCGGACCUUGCGCGAUUGAAUGAGCCGAUGUCGGAUUAGCUAGUUGGCGGGGUAAAGGCCCACCAAGGCGACGAUCCGUAGCUGGUCUGAGAGGAUGAUCAGCCACACUGGAACUGAGACACGGUCCAGACUCCUACGGGAGGCAGCAGUGGGGAAUAUUGGACAAUGGGCGCAAGCCUGAUCCAGCCAGACCGCGUGGGUGAAGAAGGCCUUCGGGUUGUAAAGCCCUUUUGUUGGGAAAGAAAAGCAGCAGGUUAAUACCCCGCUGUUCUGACGGUACCCAAAGAAUAAGCACCGGCUAACUUCGUG
RNAcentral lists this ribosomal RNA (492 nucleotides) under uncultured bacterium. RNAcentral's name for it is "partial 16S ribosomal RNA". It matches the Rfam family "Bacterial small subunit ribosomal RNA", at positions 29 to 507 of the family's 1533-position model. The record is from RNAcentral.